UUUCGCGGACGAAACUCCUUUUUAGGAGGGGUGAAUGUAACACACUGGACCUUUGCAAAUUGCGAGGUUCGAGUGGUUGGUUGUGUGCUGAGAAAUUUCAGACUUUCUGGUGGGUCGUUGACAGUGUUCCGACCUAUGGCUCGCAUCCCGAGAAGUGAGGUUUAAAGCCUAGCACAAAAAUCCGAAAAAUCGGAUUUUUGGUCAGCUCUCGGGUAGCUUUCAGCAGAGCUUGUACCGGUACAAGGUUGAUGGCUGUACCGGUACAAAGCUGGUGUUUGUACCGUACAGGGUGCUUGUACCGGUACAGGGCCGGUUACCCCGCCAACCCGAGCCUCGGGUUGUGAUUUUCGUGGGGCUUGUACCGGUACAAGGGCCCGUGUACCGGUACAAGGAGGCUGAUUUCGUGCAGUUUGAACUGCAGGGGUGUUUUUGCAAUUGUGGAUCUCUUAU
This 450-nucleotide long non-coding RNA is filed under the name Ananas comosus (pineapple). RNAcentral describes it as "long non-coding RNA (ACOM_LNC039504)". Lineage: Eukaryota; Viridiplantae; Streptophyta; Magnoliopsida; Poales; Bromeliaceae. The record is from RNAcentral.